This 240-nucleotide ribosomal RNA is filed under the name uncultured bacterium. RNAcentral describes it as "partial 16S ribosomal RNA". It matches the Rfam family "Bacterial small subunit ribosomal RNA", at positions 94 to 334 of the family's 1533-position model. The record is from RNAcentral.
AGUGGCGGACGGGUGAGUAACGCGUGGGUAACCUGCCUCAUACAGGGGGAUAACAGUUAGAAAUGACUGCUAAUACCGCAUAAGACCACAGCACCGCAUGGUGCAGGGGUAAAAACUCCGGUGGUAUGAGAUGGACCCGCGUCUGAUUAGGUAGUUGGUGGGGUAACGGCCUACCAAGCCGACGAUCAGUAGCCGACCUGAGAGGGUGACCGGCCACAUUGGAACUGAGACACGGUCCAA